GCACUGCUGAGGAGUCCCAUAAUAGGACGAAACGGCUUUUCAGUGC
Molecule: non-coding RNA, 46 nt
Organism: Schistosoma haematobium
Lineage: Eukaryota; Metazoa; Platyhelminthes; Trematoda; Strigeidida; Schistosomatidae
Source: Rfam